GCCUACUUAGCUCAGUUGGUCAGAGCAUUGCUCUUGUAAAGCAAGGGUCGUCGGUUCGAAUCCGACAGUGGGCU
This 74-nucleotide transfer RNA is filed under the name Opitutia bacterium TMED67. RNAcentral describes it as "Opitutae bacterium TMED67 tRNA-Thr". It matches the Rfam family "tRNA". From Rfam's summary of the family: Transfer RNA (tRNA) molecules are approximately 80 nucleotides in length. The record is from RNAcentral. Lineage: Bacteria; Pseudomonadati; Verrucomicrobiota; Opitutia.